Physcomitrium patens is the source of this 619-nucleotide non-coding RNA. The record is from RefSeq and is a predicted model, not a curated record. Lineage: Eukaryota; Viridiplantae; Streptophyta; Bryopsida; Funariales; Funariaceae.
CCUUGUGCAAGGGCUCUAAGAAAUCGAAAGCAGUACAGGCUUCAAGAAGGCGACUAUCCAUUGUUCGAGCAGGUGGAUGUCCGUUCGGCUUCAAGAGCACCAUGGAGAAAGGAGCACAACGGGAAUCUUCGAUGGAAACUAACGUAGCUGCGACAGCAAGCCCUCUCGUAAUCACACCACACGCUCCAGUUCCAUCUGCUGCUGAUGCCCCAGACGAAGUGAACCUCGGACCCGUUUGUUUGUGGAAAAGGGUUCCGCAGAGCAUCAACAGUGAAUGAACCACCAGUAUUACCAACACGGAGAUGUCGAUCAAGAGCGUUUCAGUUCAUGAUUCCGUGGGACGGCUAGCGCAUUCCCGAAGAUAUUUGAGAGCAAUGUCAUUGAAGCAUGCCAUAGUCUUGUACCUGGUGAUGGAUGUUGGAUGAACAUCCAAACACAUUAUACUCGAAGAUCCAUUCGUCCUCAGUAUACAAGUUCAUGUUCGAUGGAUCCAUAGUGUGGCGAUAAGUGUUAGACAAUCAGAGAGUGUAAGUUGAUUAGAGAGAGAAUACGAAAAGUGUUGAGCUUUGAUGUCACUAAAGGAGUUUACAAUGGAAUAAAGAAAGUGUUUAAUACCUUA